RNAcentral lists this unclassified non-coding RNA (569 nucleotides) under Hevea brasiliensis (rubber tree). The record is from RNAcentral. Lineage: Eukaryota; Viridiplantae; Streptophyta; Magnoliopsida; Malpighiales; Euphorbiaceae.
CUUGAGCAGGUUAAGAAAAACAUUGAGGACAAGUCUCACCAACAGAUAGAUGCUCGUUCAAAGGCCAGAUUUGACGGAGCAGCACCAGAGCCUCGAAAGGGAAUAAGAAGCGGUCAUGUACCUGGCAGCAAGUGCAUUCCUUUUCCUCAUAUGUUAGAUGCUUCACAGACACUCUUACCAGCAGAUGAACUUAAGAAACAGUUUGAUCAAGAAGGCAUCUCUCUGGAAAGCCCUGUUGUUACUUCUUGUGGGACUGGUGUAACUGCUUGCAUUCUCGCUUUGGGUCUGCAUCGACUUGGGAACCGAGAUGUUGCAGUCUAUGAUGGAUCAUGGACUGAAUGGGGAGCUCAUACUGAUACACCUAUUACCUCUUCAUAAAUCUGGAAGCUUGGCAGCAAUAUGAUGGAUCAUGGACUUAAUGGCAUGAGGCUACGACUCUCUGAUUGUGACAAAAGAGUUUGUAUCUAAAACACUUGGAUGACAAGAUUGCCAAAUUUUCAAAUCAUUUUUGAGUUGCACUUUCUGUCAUGUGAAAAUUUGAUCAUCAUAACCCCAUGUAUCAGAAAACA